This 155-nucleotide ribosomal RNA is filed under the name Orbilia vermiculati. RNAcentral's name for it is "5.8S ribosomal RNA". It matches the Rfam family "5.8S ribosomal RNA". Rfam says of the family: 5.8S ribosomal RNA (5.8S rRNA) is a component of the large subunit of the eukaryotic ribosome. It is transcribed by RNA polymerase I as part of the 45S precursor that also contains 18S and 28S rRNA. The record is from RNAcentral. Lineage: Eukaryota; Fungi; Ascomycota; Orbiliomycetes; Orbiliales; Orbiliaceae.
AAAACUUUCAACAACGGAUCUCUUGGUUCUCGCAUCGAUGAAGAACGCAGCGAAACGCGAUAGUUAAUGUGAAUUGCAGAAUUCAGUGAAUCAUCGAGUCUUUGAACGCACAUUGCGCCCCUUGGUAUUCCGAAGGGCAUGUCUGUUUGAGCGUC